RNAcentral lists this unclassified non-coding RNA (253 nucleotides) under uncultured Moraxellaceae bacterium. RNAcentral describes it as "contains 16S-23S intergenic spacer region". It matches the Rfam family "Bacterial small subunit ribosomal RNA", at positions 524 to 776 of the family's 1533-position model. The record is from RNAcentral. Lineage: Bacteria; Pseudomonadati; Pseudomonadota; Gammaproteobacteria; Moraxellales; Moraxellaceae.
UCCAGAGGGUGUGAGCGUUAAUCGGCUUUACUGGGCGUAACGCGUGCGUAGGCGGCGUUUUAAGUCGUAUGUGAAAUCCCCUAGCUUAACUUGGGAAUUGCAUUCGAUACUGGGAAGCUAGAGUAUGGGAGCGGAGGGUAGAAUUCCAGGUGUAGCGGUGAAAUGCGUAGAGAUCUGGAGGAAUACCGAUGGCGAAGGCAGCCAUCUGGCCUAAUACUGACGCUGAGGUACGAAAGCAUGGGGAGCAAACAGG